GACGAACGCUGGCGGCGUGCCUAAUACAUGCAAGUCGAGCGAAUGGAUUAAGAGCUUGCUCUUAUGAAGUUAGCGGCGGACGGGUGAGUAACACGUGGGUAACCUGCCCAUAAGACUGGGAUAACUCCGGGAAACCGGGGCUAAUACCGGAUAACAUUUUGAACCGCAUGGUUCGAAAUUGAAAGGCGGCUUCGGCUGUCACUUAUGGAUGGACCCGCGUCGCAUUAGCUAGUUGGUGAGGUAACGGACCACCAAGGCGACGAUGGGUAUCCGGCCUGAGAGGGUGUACGGACACAUUGGGACUGAGAUACGGCCCAGACUCCUACGGGAGGCAGCAGUAGGGAAUUUUGCGCAAUGGAGGAAACUCUGAUGCAGCAACGCCAUGUGUGGGAUGAAGCAUUUCGGUGUGUAAACCACUGUCAGCAGGGAAUAAAUGGUCGCUUCGGCGGCAGUUGAAUGUACCUGCAAAGGAAGCCCCGGCUAACUUCGUGCCAGCAGCCGCCGUAA
Molecule: ribosomal RNA, 507 nt
Filed under: uncultured bacterium
Lineage: Bacteria
Description: partial 16S ribosomal RNA
Rfam family: Bacterial small subunit ribosomal RNA
Source: RNAcentral